GUGCUCGCUUUGGCAGCACAUAUACUAAAAAUUGGAACGAUACAGAGAAGAUUAGCAUGGCCCCUGCUCAAGGAUGACACGCAAAUUCAUGAAGCGUGCCAUAUUUAA
Dipodomys ordii (Ord's kangaroo rat) is the source of this 108-nucleotide small nuclear RNA. The record is from Ensembl. Lineage: Eukaryota; Metazoa; Chordata; Mammalia; Rodentia; Heteromyidae.